This 270-nucleotide ribosomal RNA is filed under the name unidentified soil organism R6-138. RNAcentral describes it as "partial 16S ribosomal RNA". It matches the Rfam family "Bacterial small subunit ribosomal RNA", at positions 505 to 772 of the family's 1533-position model. The record is from RNAcentral.
GUGACAGCCGCCGCGGUAAUACGGAGGGUGCAAGCGUUAUCCGGAUUCACUGGGUUUAAAGGGUGCGUAGGUGGGCAAGUAAGUCAGUGGUGAAAUCUCCGGGCUUAACCCGGNNCCUGCCAUUGAUACUAUUUGUCUUGANUACUGUGGAGGUCAGCGGAAUAUGUCAUGUAGCGGUGAAAAUGCUUAGAUAUGACAUNGNAACACCAAUUGCGAAGGCAGCUGGCUACACAAAUAUUGACACUGAUGCACGAANGCGUGGGGAUCAAA